RNAcentral lists this non-coding RNA (30 nucleotides) under Rattus norvegicus (Norway rat). The record is from RNAcentral. Lineage: Eukaryota; Metazoa; Chordata; Mammalia; Rodentia; Muridae.
UGCUUGAAGGAAUCUUGACUAUUUUGUGUU